This 435-nucleotide ribosomal RNA is filed under the name uncultured bacterium. RNAcentral's name for it is "partial 16S ribosomal RNA". It matches the Rfam family "Bacterial small subunit ribosomal RNA", at positions 29 to 507 of the family's 1533-position model. The record is from RNAcentral.
AGCGAACGCUGGCGGCAGGCUUAACACAUGCAAGUCGAACGGGCAUAGCAAUAUGUCAGUGGCAGACGGGUGAGUAACGCGUGGGAACGUACCUUUUGGUUCGGAACAACACAGGGAAACUUGUGCUAAUACCGGAUAAGCCCUUGCGGGGAAAGAUUUAUCGCCGAAAGAUCGGCCCGCGUCUGAUUAGCUAGUUGGUAGGGUAAUGGCCUACCAAGGCGACGAUCAGUAGCUGGUCUGAGAGGAUGAUCAGCCACAUUGGGACUGAGACACGGCCCAAACUCCUACGGGAGGCAGCAGUGGGGAAUAUUGGACAAUGGGCGAAAGCCUGAUCCAGCCAUGCCGCGUGAGUGAUGAAGGCCCUAGGGUUGUAAAGCUCUUUUGUGCGGGAAGAUAAUGACGGUACCGAAAGAAUAAGCCCCGGCUAACUUCGUG